AGUGAACGCUGGCGGUAGGCCUAACACAUGCAAGUCGAACGGCAGCACAGGAGAGCUUGCUCUCUGGGUGGCGAGUGGCGGACGGGUGAGGAAUACAUCGGAAUCUACUCUGUCGUGGGGGAUAACGUAGGGAAACUUACGCUAAUACCGCAUACGACCUACGGGUGAAAGCAGGGGACCUUCGGGCCUUGCGCGAUUGAAUGAGCCGAUGUCGGAUUAGCUAGUUGGCGGGGUAAAGGCCCACCAAGGCGACGUUCCGUGGCUGGUCAGCGAGUGUGAUCAGCCACGAUGGAACUGAGACAGGGUCCAGACGCCUAGGGGAGGCAGCAGUGGGAAAUAUUGGAAAAUGGGCGCAAGCCUGAUCCAGCCAUACCGCGUGGGUGAAGAAGGCCUUCGGUUUGUAAACCCCUUUUGUUGGGAAAGAAAUCCAGCUGGCUAAUACCCGGUUGGGAUGACGGUACCCAAAGAAUAAGCACCGGCUAACUUCGUGCCAGCCGCCGCCGUAA
This 506-nucleotide ribosomal RNA is filed under the name uncultured bacterium. Its description in RNAcentral is "partial 16S ribosomal RNA". It matches the Rfam family "Bacterial small subunit ribosomal RNA", at positions 29 to 523 of the family's 1533-position model. The record is from RNAcentral.